This 65-nucleotide transfer RNA is filed under the name Eubranchipus grubii. RNAcentral's name for it is "tRNA-Met". The record is from RNAcentral. Lineage: Eukaryota; Metazoa; Arthropoda; Branchiopoda; Anostraca; Chirocephalidae.
AAAGAGGUAAGCUAAGAAAUAAGCUAUUAGGUUCAUACCCUACCGAUAGAGUCAUCUCCUCUUUA